CUUAAGCAUAUCAAUAAGCGGAGGAAAAGAAACCAACAGGGAUUGCCCUAGUAACGGCGAGUGAAGCGGCAACAGCUCAAAUUUGAAAUCUGGCGCAAGCCCGAGUUGUAAUUUGUAGAGGAUGCUUCAGGGCAGCGGCCGGUCUAAGUUCCUUGGAACAGGACGUCAUAGAGGGUGAGAAUCCCGUAUGCGACCGGUUGGCACCCGUCACGUAGCUCCUUCGACGAGUCGAGUUGUUUGGGAAUGCAGCUCUAAAUGGGAGGUAAAUUUCUUCUAAAGCUAAAUACCGGCCAGAGACCGAUAGCGCACAAGUAGAGUGAUCGAAAGAUGAAAAGCACUUUGGAAAGAGAGUUAAAAAGCACGUGAAAUUGUUGAAAGGGAAGCGCAUGCAACCAGACUUGUCGGCGGUGUUCCGCCGGUCUUCUGACCGGUCUAUUCGCCGCCGGCAGGCCAGCAUCAUCUGGGCGCGCCGGAUAAAGGCGUGGGGAAUGUAGCUCCUCGGAGUGUUAUAGCCCUGCGCACAAUACGGCGCCGCCCGGGUGAGGUCCGCGCUUCGGCUAGGAUGCUGGCGUAAUGGUUGUCUGCGGCCCGUCUUGAAACACGGACCAAGGAGUCUAACAUCUAUGCGAGUGUUCGGGUGUCAAACCCCUACGCGUAAUGAAAGUGAACGGAGGUGGGAAGCGCAAGCUGCACCAUCGACCGAUCCUGAUGUCUUCGGAUGGAUUUGAGUAAGAGCAUAGCUGUUGGGACCCGAAAGAUGGUGAACUAUGCCUGAAUAGGGUGAAGCCAGAGGAAACUCUGGUGGAGGCUCGCAGCGGUUCUGACGUGCAAAUCGAUCGUCAAAUUUGGGUAUAGGGGCGAAAGACUAAUCGAACCAUCUAGUAGCUGGUUCCUG
Molecule: ribosomal RNA, 895 nt
Filed under: Teratosphaeria hortaea
Lineage: Eukaryota; Fungi; Ascomycota; Dothideomycetes; Mycosphaerellales; Teratosphaeriaceae
Description: LSU rRNA
Rfam family: Eukaryotic large subunit ribosomal RNA
Source: RNAcentral